This is a long non-coding RNA of Papaver somniferum (opium poppy), 1796 nucleotides long. RefSeq lists it as uncharacterized. Lineage: Eukaryota; Viridiplantae; Streptophyta; Magnoliopsida; Ranunculales; Papaveraceae. The transcript has 3 exons. The record is from RefSeq and is a predicted model, not a curated record.
UCUUUUCUUUUUUCUUCUUUCUUCUUUCUCUUUCCUUCUUCCUCUGUUCUUCUUUUCUCUGCGUGCGAUUGAGAAUCGGUUCGAGAAAAUUAAUUGAUGAGGGAGAUGGUGAGGUUGUGAACUAGGAUAUAAAACAACUAAGGGAGUGUUGGGUUUUUGUCUGUGGUGACAAUCAAAGAGAAGCAGAGUUAGGGUUCUUAGAUUUGAUUAUGAUUCUGAAGAUCUAGAAGAUGAAUAUGGAGCUACGGUUAGAUCAAUAACAAUGGGUAGAUGUUUAAUUGGAGUUUUGAAGUCGAUUCAGUUGUGAAUCAUCGAUGAGAACUGGAUUAGGGUUUCAGGGGAAUUACAUAAGAGAAUGGGAAGAUGAAAUUGAUACCCAAGAGGAUUGAUUGAAGAUGGGUUUUACCUGAGUUAAAGUUUGGGUUUGAAGAAUAGAUCAGAAUCAGUAAUUAGGGUUUGAUUAGAUUUUAAUGAAGGUUGUUGGAUGUUGGCUGUGGUGAACUGACAGAUAAAGGAGGAGAUUGUAAUGUUUUGUUUGAGUGAAAUCUUCUUAAGGUAAUUGUUUCUCAGUUAAUUAGUGAAAUUAUUCAUUGUUGAUUCUAUAUGAUGAUUUAUGAGAUGAUGAGUUCCAGAGGGGUUUAAUUAGAUUGAAGUUGAAAUUGAUUAUAUGGGUUUCUAGUAACUGUGUUGUUGUAAUUUGAUGAUAAUUGAAGUUGAUCGAAUUCUGGGAAUGAAAUUGAGAAAUUGAGAAGCUGGUGAGGUAUUUAUAUUGUUGAGUCUGUGGGUUUGAUCAUGAAUUAUGAUUUGAGAUAGAUAUGGUGGUUUAUUAUUGAGUGUUAGUUGGAUGUUAUUGUUGAAUUUUGUUGAUUGAAGUUCUUUUGAAUGUUUUUUUGUGAAGUAGUGGUGUUGUUAUGAAGUGAUUUUGUUGUGGAGGUAAUGGUGAAGCUGUACAGGAUAUGGUCGGUGGUGAUAACUGUUGCUGCUGGGUUUAAAAUUGAGUGUACAUAAUUGCCGGAGUUGGUAGUGUUGAACUGAGCUUGGUGUUUUCUGAGUAGUUUUUAUUGCAGAUCUGAAGUUGUAGAUUAUGUGUGUUUGGUUAAGCUCAGAGUCUGGAGAUGGAGGUAAAGUAAAUGUAAUGGAUUGGUUGUGAUUGUGUUAGCAGAUUCAAAUUAUGUUUAACAAGAUAAUGGUAUUUGGGAAAUGUAGAAGAUGUUGGUGGAGAUGUAAUUGUAAUUGAGUUGGUGUUCAAUUGUAGUUGCAGAUUAGAAGUAAUAGUAACUGGAGGUGGUGUUGUUUGUGAAGAUGUAGUGAAAUGGGGUUGAAUAGAGCUGAACUAGUAACAAGGAUUGGAAAUGAGUAGUAUGAAUUGAAUUCAAAAUUGGGAGCUUAGAAAGAACUCUAGGAAAUUGUGUGGUGGUUGUGUUCUGCUGGUUUUCUUGAGUUGAGAAGAUUGUACUGCAGCUACUGCUUUUGCAGUUAGUCUAUAUUAACAACGAUCGAUUCAAAGGAUGAACCAGUGGAUCGUGGAUCUUGAGGUAGGCAUGGCUUGUCAGCAAAAUAAGUUUCAGAGACAGAUCAAGUUGCGCAGCGGAAGCUUCGAAGAGUUGAUUUCAUUAGUUGGAUAACUUCUACUAUGUUUAGUAUAUUGCAUAUUGUAUCUGUAAACCUAAUGACUAUUGUAUAUAUAUAUCAUUUGAGAGGACUUCUUGUAUAUAUAUGUUUCAGAGCGAGUUAGUUUUGGGUUAAGUUUUGUAGCAGAUUUCUUAGUUGAAUGAUUAAGUAUAUGAUUUAGAUUU